UACGGAGGAUGCAAGCGUUAUCCGGAAUGAUUGGGCGUAAAGCGUCCGCAGGUGGCUAUGUAAGUCUGCUGUCAAAGAGUGAGGCUCAACCUCAUAAGAGCAGUGGAAACUACAUAGCUAGAGUGCGUUCGGGGCAGAGGGAAUUCCUGGUGUAGCGGUGAAAUGCGUAGAUAUCAGGAAGAACACCGGUGGCGAAAGCGCUCUGCUAGGCCGCAACUGACACUGAGGGACGAAAGCUAGGGGAGCGAAUGGG
RNAcentral lists this ribosomal RNA (253 nucleotides) under uncultured bacterium. Its description in RNAcentral is "partial 16S ribosomal RNA". It matches the Rfam family "Bacterial small subunit ribosomal RNA", at positions 524 to 776 of the family's 1533-position model. The record is from RNAcentral.